Molecule: small nuclear RNA, 194 nt
Organism: Ailuropoda melanoleuca (giant panda)
Lineage: Eukaryota; Metazoa; Chordata; Mammalia; Carnivora; Ursidae
Gene: U2
Rfam family: U2 spliceosomal RNA
About the family: U2 is a small nuclear RNA (snRNA) component of the spliceosome (involved in pre-mRNA splicing). Complementary binding between U2 snRNA (in an area lying towards the 5' end but 3' to hairpin I) and the branchpoint sequence (BPS) of the intron results the bulging out of an unpaired adenosine, on the BPS, which initiates a nucleophilic attack at the intronic 5' splice site, thus starting the first of two transesterification reactions that mediate splicing.
Source: Ensembl
AUUGCUUCCUGGCCCUUUGGCUAAGAUCAAGUGUAGUUUUUGUUCUUACCAGUUUAAUAUCUGAUACAUCCUCUAUCCAAGGACAGUAUAUGAAGUGGCUUGUUGGAGCAGAGAGAUGGUAUAGAAGCUUGCUCUGUCCACGCGGUGCAUCGGCCUCCUGAUACCGCAGUACCUCCAGAAACAGUGCACCCCCU